GAGUUUGAUCAUGGCUCAGAACGAACGCUGGCGGCAGGCCUAACACAUGCAAGUCGAGGGAGAAACCAUCUUCGGAUGGCGGAGACCGGCAGACGGGUGAGUAACACGUGGGAACAUACCAAGUACUGGGGGAUAACAGUUGGAAACGACUGCUAAUACCGCAUACGCCCUCCGGGGGAAAUAUUUAUCGGUAUUUGAUUGGCCCGCGUUAGAUUAGCUAGUUGGUAAGGUAACGGCUUACCAAGGCGACGAUCUAUAGCUGGUUUGAGAGGAUGAUCAGCCACACUGGGACUGAGACACGGCCCAGACUCCUACGGGAGGCAGCAGUGGGGAAUAUUGCGCAAUGGAGGAAACUCUGACGCAGCCAUGCCGCGUGAGUGAAGACGGCCCUAGGGUUGUAAAGCUCUUUCAGACGUGAUGAUGAUGACAGUAGCGUCAAAAGAAGUUCCGGCUAACUUCGUGCCAGCAGCCGCGGUAAUACGAAGGGAACUAGCGUUGUUCGGAUUUACUGGGCGUAAAGAGCAUGUAGGCGGAUUGGUUAGUUGGAUGUGAAAUCCCGGAGCUCAACUCC
This 571-nucleotide ribosomal RNA is filed under the name uncultured bacterium. RNAcentral describes it as "bacterial SSU rRNA". It matches the Rfam family "Bacterial small subunit ribosomal RNA", at positions 9 to 616 of the family's 1533-position model. The record is from RNAcentral.